UCCGUGUUAACCACGGCAGUCUCCUUAGAGAGCCCAACUUAAUGCUGGCAACUAAGGACAAGGGUUGCGCUCGUUGCGGGACUUAACCCAACAUGUCACCACACGAGCUGACGACAGCCAUGCAGCACCUGUCUUCCUGUGAUAUUUCUAUCAAAACCGUAUCUCUACGGGUGUCAGGAGAUGUCAAACCCAGGUAAGGUUCUUCGCGUUGCUUCGAAUUAAACCACAUGAUCCACCGCUUGUGCGGGCCCCCGUCAAUUCCUUUGAGUUUUAGUCUUGCGACCGUACUUCCCAGGCGGGGUACUUAUUGCGUUAGCGCCGGUUCGGCGGGGGUCAAGACCCACCAAACCUAGUACCCAUCGUUUACAGCGUGGACUAC
Molecule: unclassified non-coding RNA, 379 nt
Filed under: uncultured Oligoflexales bacterium
Lineage: Bacteria; Pseudomonadati; Bdellovibrionota; Oligoflexia; Oligoflexales
Description: contains 16S-23S intergenic spacer region
Source: RNAcentral